RNAcentral lists this ribosomal RNA (1416 nucleotides) under Lactiplantibacillus plantarum. Its description in RNAcentral is "bacterial SSU rRNA". It matches the Rfam family "Bacterial small subunit ribosomal RNA". Lineage: Bacteria; Bacillati; Bacillota; Bacilli; Lactobacillales; Lactobacillaceae. The record is from RNAcentral.
GAACGAACUCUGGUAUUGAUUGGUGCUUGCAUCAUGAUUUACAUUUGAGUGAGUGGCGAACUGGUGAGUAACACGUGGGAAACCUGCCCAGAAGCGGGGGAUAACACCUGGAAACAGAUGCUAAUACCGCAUAACAACUUGGACCGCAUGGUCCGAGCUUGAAAGAUGGCUUCGGCUAUCACUUUUGGAUGGUCCCGCGGCGUAUUAGCUAGAUGGUGGGGUAACGGCUCACCAUGGCAAUGAUACGUAGCCGACCUGAGAGGGUAAUCGGCCACAUUGGGACUGAGACACGGCCCAAACUCCUACGGGAGGCAGCAGUAGGGAAUCUUCCACAAUGGACGAAAGUCUGAUGGAGCAACGCCGCGUGAGUGAAGAAGGGUUUCGGCUCGUAAAACUCUGUUGUUAAAGAAGAACAUAUCUGAGAGUAACUGUUCAGGUAUUGACGGUAUUUAACCAGAAAGCCACGGCUAACUACGUGCCAGCAGCCGCGGUAAUACGUAGGUGGCAAGCGUUGUCCGGAUUUAUUGGGCGUAAAGCGAGCGCAGGCGGUUUUUUAAGUCUGAUGUGAAAGCCUUCGGCUCAACCGAAGAAGUGCAUCGGAAACUGGGAAACUUGAGUGCAGAAGAGGACAGUGGAACUCCAUGUGUAGCGGUGAAAUGCGUAGAUAUAUGGAAGAACACCAGUGGCGAAGGCGGCUGUCUGGUCUGUAACUGACGCUGAGGCUCGAAAGUAUGGGUAGCAAACAGGAUUAGAUACCCUGGUAGUCCAUACCGUAAACGAUGAAUGCUAAGUGUUGGAGGGUUUCCGCCCUUCAGUGCUGCAGCUAACGCAUUAAGCAUUCCGCCUGGGGAGUACGGCCGCAAGGCUGAAACUCAAAGGAAUUGACGGGGGCCCGCACAAGCGGUGGAGCAUGUGGUUUAAUUCGAAGCUACGCGAAGAACCUUACCAGGUCUUGACAUACUAUGCAAAUCUAAGAGAUUAGACGUUCCCUUCGGGGACAUGGAUACAGGUGGUGCAUGGUUGUCGUCAGCUCGUGUCGUGAGAUGUUGGGUUAAGUCCCGCAACGAGCGCAACCCUUAUUAUCAGUUGCCAGCAUUAAGUUGGGCACUCUGGUGAGACUGCCGGUGACAAACCGGAGGAAGGUGGGGAUGACGUCAAAUCAUCAUGCCCCUUAUGACCUGGGCUACACACGUGCUACAAUGGAUGGUACAACGAGUUGCGAACUCGCGAGAGUAAGCUAAUCUCUUAAAGCCAUUCUCAGUUCGGAUUGUAGGCUGCAACUCGCCUACAUGAAGUCGGAAUCGCUAGUAAUCGCGGAUCAGCAUGCCGCGGUGAAUACGUUCCCGGGCCUUGUACACACCGCCCGUCACACCAUGAGAGUUUGUAACACCCAAAGUCGGUGGGGUAACCUUUAGA